RNAcentral lists this ribosomal RNA (570 nucleotides) under fungal sp. RNAcentral describes it as "eukaryotic LSU rRNA". The stretch from base 124 to 278 matches the Rfam family "5.8S ribosomal RNA". The record is from RNAcentral. Lineage: Eukaryota; Fungi.
UCUGUACCCUCUGUCUACAAGUACCCCUUGUUGUUUCCUCGGCAGGCCUGCCUGCCGCAGGAAACCCCAUAAACCCCUGUAUCUCAAGUAUUGUAAAACUCCGAUAAACCACUUAAUUAUCACAACUUUCAACAAUGGAUCUCUUGGUUCUGGCAUCGAUGAAGAACGCAGCGAAAAUGCGAAAAGUAGUGUGAAUUGCAGAAUUCCGUGAAUCAUCGAAUCUUUGAACGCACAUUGCGCCCCUCGGUAUUCCGGGGGGCAUGCCUGUUCGAGCGUCAUUUACACCCUCAAGCUCUGCUUGGUGUUGGCGUCUGUCCCGCCUCCGCGCGUGGACUCGCCCUAAAGUUAUUGGCAGCGGUCGUGCCAGCUUCUCGUGCAGCACAUUGCGCUUCUUGAAGCCCUGGCGGAUCGGCGUCCAGCAAGCCUCUCAUAAUUGACCUCGAUCAGGUAGGGAUACCCGCUGAACUUAGCAUAUCAUAAGCGGAGAAAGUUCCGAAGAUUAUCCUGUGAAAGUUCACCGCACAAGUUCAUCGAUUACUGAUAAACUUCCCCCGCUUACCGUGGAAGUGC